UGAACAUCCAGUUAGAAGCCUCGGUUUGGAACAGUGGUUCUCAGACUUCAUGGUGUGUGACAGUCACUGGGGAACUUGUCCAAACACAGAUUGACAGACCCCAUCCCAAAGUUUCUGAUUCAGCGGCUCUAGGGAGGGCCCUAAGAACACGAGCUCCUCUUCCCAAGCUCCCAGGUGACGCUGAGGUUGCUGCCCCGGGAGCCCACUUUGAGAACUGCUGAUCUAGGGUGUGCUGGGGUAACUCUGGCUGUCAGAGGGGUCAGGACACUUGGUCUCCUUCUCUUUGGUCUCACUGAGAAUGUGAAUGUGAAUGGCCUUUUGAGGCCACUUGCACUGAGUCCUCUACAGGGCACACUGGACGGCGGGGGAGCGUCUGGAAGGGGUCUGCACACCGGCUUGCAGCCUCAGUGAUGCUCAUCUAGUGCGGGUCCUGCGUGGUCCCCAGAGGAACCCAGUGAGAAAUCCGGAGGAGACGGACAGAGAGGAGGAUGACUUCCUUUUGUAUUACAACGUCAUGAUUACAAAUAAUCAUAAUAGAGUGCCCAUUUUAAAGUGGCCUUUCCCUCCAAGCACACAGGAGACUCCCUCAGAUUCCCUAGGAAACCAAAGAAAUACUGAAUCUACUCCACAAAAGGUACUUGGUUGGCUGCUUCCCCAGGAACAUCCCUCCAUCCUCACGGGUAUCCCGCCAUGGACCUCGGGGAGCCCUGGACAAACAUGCAUGUGUGCGACGCUUGUAACAAACCUGCAAGGUAGACCUCAUACAGCCCAGUUUUGGAAGAGGGAGUUGAGUUUUAGAGCAUUUACAUAAUUUGCCCAAGGUCACAAGACAGCUACUCAGUGGUAGAAAGAUACUUCAAACGCAGUUCUGCUGGGCUCCCACUCCUGCACCAGAACCAUUAUGCUGUAGUAUCUAUCAUCGUGUCCUCGCAGUGACCUGGGAAGAGAGGCUGUACUGCAGGCGAGGAAAGACAAAGUGACUCGCUCCAGGCUGUCCAGCUCCUGAGUGACCGGCUCAGCCUUCCCACCCAGCUCCCCUACCCUGGCGUCCAAGAUCUCAUUCCUUGCCUCCCUCUUAACUGACUUGAACACCUGAAUGGUGUCUUCGAGUA
Molecule: long non-coding RNA, 1112 nt
Filed under: Homo sapiens (human)
Lineage: Eukaryota; Metazoa; Chordata; Mammalia; Primates; Hominidae
Description: non-protein coding PACRG-AS1:4
Source: RNAcentral